UACGUAGGUCCCGAGCGUUGUCCGGAUUUAUUGGGCGUAAAGCGAGCGCAGGUGGUUUAUUAAGUCUGGUGUAAAAGGCAGUGGCUCAACCAUUGUAUGCAUUGGAAACUGGUAGACUUGAGUGCAGGAGAGGAGAGUGGAAUUCCAUGUGUAGCGGUGAAAUGCGUAGAUAUAUGGAGGAACACCGGUGGCGAAAGCGGCUCUCUGGACUGUCACUGACACUGAGGCUCGAAAGCGUGGGUAGCAAACAGG
Molecule: ribosomal RNA, 252 nt
Filed under: uncultured microorganism
Description: partial 16S ribosomal RNA
Rfam family: Bacterial small subunit ribosomal RNA
Source: RNAcentral